AGCAUGAACUUAGCUUGCUAAGUUUGAUGGCGACCGGCGCACGGGUGAGUAACACGUAUCCAACCUGCCGAUGACUCGGGGAUAGCCUUUCGAAAGAAAGAUUAAUACCCGAUGGCAUAGUUCUUCCGCAUGGUAGGACUAUUAAAGAAUUUCGGUCAUCGAUGGGGAUGCGUUCCAUUAGCUUGUUGGCGGGGUAACGGCCCACCAAGGCAUCGAUGGAUAGGGGUUCUGAGAGGAAGGUCCCCCACAUUGGAACUGAGACACGGUCCAAACUCCUACGGGAGGCAGCAGUGAGGAAUAUUGGUCAAUGGGCGCUAGCCUGAACCAGCCAAGUAGCGUGAAGGAUGACUGCCCUAUGGGUUGUAGACUUCUUUUAUAUGGGAAUAAAGUGCAGUAUGUAUACUGCUUUGCAUGUACCUUAUGAAUAAGGAUCGGCUAACUCCGUGCCAGCAGCCGCGGUAAUACGGAGGAUCCGAGCGUUAUCCGGAUUUAUUGGGUUUAAAGGGAGCGUAGGCGGGUUGUUAAGUCAGUUGUGAAAGUUUGCGGCUCAACCGUAAAAUUGCAGUUGAUACUGGCAUCCUUGAGUACAGUAGAGGUAGGCGGAAUUCGUGGUGUAGCGGUGAAAUGCUUAGAUAUCACGAAGAACUCCGAUUGCGAAGGCAGCCUGCUGGACUGUAACUGACGCUGAUGCUCGAAAGUGUGGGUAUCAAACA
RNAcentral lists this ribosomal RNA (713 nucleotides) under uncultured bacterium. RNAcentral describes it as "bacterial SSU rRNA". It matches the Rfam family "Bacterial small subunit ribosomal RNA", at positions 68 to 774 of the family's 1533-position model. The record is from RNAcentral.